Ornithorhynchus anatinus (platypus) is the source of this 138-nucleotide small nucleolar RNA. The record is from RefSeq and is a predicted model, not a curated record. Lineage: Eukaryota; Metazoa; Chordata; Mammalia; Monotremata; Ornithorhynchidae.
CUCCUCUCAGGACCACACCAGGAGAGUUUCCUAUACUCUACCAGUCUUGGCUAUGGGAGGGAGAUUCAAGCAGAGGCAUACUUAUUUCAUUCCUAGCUUAGUCAGUGGCUAGUGAGUGGAAGACAAUGUCCUACAAGU